This 491-nucleotide ribosomal RNA is filed under the name uncultured bacterium. Its description in RNAcentral is "partial 16S ribosomal RNA". It matches the Rfam family "Bacterial small subunit ribosomal RNA", at positions 28 to 507 of the family's 1533-position model. The record is from RNAcentral.
GAUGAACGCUGGCUACAGGCUUAACACAUGCAAGUCGAGGGGAAACGACGGGGAAGCUUGCUUCCCCGGGCGUCGACCGGCGCACGGGUGAGUAACGCGUAUCCAACCUGCCUCUGACUGAGGGAUAACCCGUCGAAAGUCGGCCUAAUACCUCAUGGCAUCGUCUGCGGGCAUCCAACGACGAUUAAAGAUUUCAUCGGUCAGGGAUGGGGAUGCGUCUGAUUAGCUUGUUGGCGGGGUAACGGCCCACCAAGGCUACGAUCAGUAGGGGUUCUGAGAGGAAGGUCCCCCACAUUGGAACUGAGACACGGUCCAAACUCCUACGGGAGGCAGCGGUGAGGAAUAUUGGUCAAUGGGCGGGAGCCUGAACCAGCCAAGUAGCGUGCAGGAUGACGGCCCUAUGGGUUGUAAACUGCUUUUAUGCGGGGAUAAAGUGAGGGACGUGUCCUUCAUUGCAGGUACCGCAUGAAUAAGGACCGGCUAAUUCCGUG